This 392-nucleotide ribosomal RNA is filed under the name uncultured Sphingobacterium sp. Its description in RNAcentral is "bacterial SSU rRNA". It matches the Rfam family "Bacterial small subunit ribosomal RNA", at positions 9 to 394 of the family's 1533-position model. Lineage: Bacteria; Pseudomonadati; Bacteroidota; Sphingobacteriia; Sphingobacteriales; Sphingobacteriaceae. The record is from RNAcentral.
GAGUUUGAUCGUGGCUCAGGAUGAACGCUAGCGGCAGGCUUAACACAUGCAAGUCGAGGGGCAGCAUGGCCAGCAAUGGCUGAUGGCGACCGGCAAACGGGUGCGGAACACGUACGCAAUCUACCGUUACCUGGGGCAUAGCCCGGUGAAAACCGGAUUAACUCCCCAUAGUAUAGUUAAAAGGCAUCUUUUGAUUAUUAAAGAUUUAUUGGGUAAUGAUGAGCGUGCGUCCCAUUAGCUAGUUGGUAGGGUAAAGGCCUACCAAGGCGACGAUGGGUAGCUGGUGUGAGAGCACGACCAGCCACGACGGGCACUGAGACCACGGGCCCGACUCCGUACGGGAGGCAGCAGUGAGGAAUAUUGGGCAAGUGGACGGAAGUCUGACCCAGCCA